GCAAAUCAGUUUGUUUUGAAAUAAAAUCUUAUUUUUGGUUUGUAGGUUAAAUUUUAGUGGGAAAAGUAAUUUUAUGUUUAUUAUUUAAGUAGAUUUUAUCGAAAUUUUAUAUUAGGUUAAAGAGUAGAGUAUUGUGAAAGAAUGUUGAAAUAAUUGAAAAUUUAAUUUGAAAAAAGUAGUUUUUAAAAUUCGUACCUUGUGUAUUAUGGGUAAUCAAUAUUAUCUUAAGAUGUAAGAUGUCCCGAAAAAAAAAUAGUUAACUUUUUAUGUUAGUUUUUGUUUCAGAAAAAUUGUUAAUUGAAAGUUAGAGGUGAAAUGUUAUUCGGGUUUUUAUAUCUGGUUUCUUUUGAAAUGAAUUGAAUUCUAUUUAUUUUCUGUCAGGGGGAAUAGGUAAAGUAUUUAGGGGUAGAGCUCUAAGUUCAAAAAUGGUUGAAUAUAAAACUAGUGUAUUAGGUGUAAUGAUUAGGCUUAGAAGUAGCCAUAUUUGUAUAGUGUUUUGACUAAUGAUUUUAAGGUUUAAUAAGAGUUUUUAUGUUUUGUAAGUAGAAAUUAAUUACAAUUAUUUUUGUUUGGUUAAUAUGGUUAUAUUAGUAUAAUUUUUUUUGGUAAGUUAAUUUUAAAGUUAAUGUUUUCUUAUAAGUGUUUGGAUGUUUUGAAAAAGGAACUCGGCAAAUAUUAUUUCCGCCUGUUUAACAAAAACAUGUCCACGUGGAUAGUUUAGCGUGGUUUGGCCUGCCCACUGAUGUAAAUAUUAAAGGGCCGCAGUAUUUUGACUGUGCAAAGGUAGCAUAAUCAUUAGUUUUUUAAUUGAGGACUUGUAUGAAUGGUCUGACGAGAAAUAUUCUGUCUUUUUCAUAUUUUUUGAAUUUAACUUUUAGGUGCAAAGGCCUAAAUGAUUCAGGGGGACGAUAAGACCCUAUAAAUCUUUACAUUUGUCUUUUUGUUAGAAUUAUUUAUUUGUUUAUAAGUAGUAAGUAGGUUAAAUGUUGUGCUGGGGCGGCAUAGAUAUAAUAUCUAACUGUUUUAUUAUAGUACAAUUAUUUUUGUUUAUUUUAAUCGGUCCUUUUUAGAGAUUAGAAGUUUAAGUUACUUUAGGGAUAACAGCGUUAUUUUUUUUAAGAGUUCAUAUCUAAAAAAAAGUUUGCGACCUCGAUGUUGAAUUAAAAUUUCCUUGUGGUUGCAGAAGCUACGGAGGAGAGUCUGUUCGACUUUUAAAAAUUUACAUGAUUUGAGUUCAGACCGGCGUGAGCCAGGUUGGUUUCUAUCUCCUGUAAGUGACAAAUUAUCUUAGUACGAAAGGAUUAGGUAGUUGAAAUAUUUUUAUUAUAAGAAUUAUAUUGUUAUUAAAUUAACUGGAUUUACAGUCUGGGGUACAAUUGUGGAUAUAACUAAAC
Molecule: ribosomal RNA, 1394 nt
Filed under: Stemonopa insignis
Lineage: Eukaryota; Metazoa; Arthropoda; Malacostraca; Decapoda; Albuneidae
Description: 16S ribosomal RNA
Rfam family: Bacterial large subunit ribosomal RNA (bases 899-1271)
Source: RNAcentral